GAUGAACGCUGGCGGCGUGCCUAAUACAUGCAAGUCGAGCGAACAGACGAGGAGCUUGCUCCUCUGACGUUAGCGGCGGACGGGUGAGUAACACGUGGAUAACCUACCUAUAAGACUGGAUAACUUCGGGAAACCGGAGCUAAUACCGGAUAAUAUAUUGAACCGCAUGGUUCAAUAGUGAAAGACGGUUUUGCUGUCACUUAUAGAUGAAUCCGCGCCGCAUUAGCUAGUUGGUAAGGUAACGGCUUACCAAGGCAACGAUGCGUAGCCGACCUGAGAGGGUGAUCGGCCACACUGGAACUGAGACACGGUCCAGACUCCUACGGGAGGCAGCAGUAGGGAAUCUUCCGCAAUGGGCGAAAGCCUGACGGAGCAACGCCGCGUGAGUGAUGAAGGUCUUCGGAUCGUAAAACUCUGUUAUUAGGGAAGAACAAAUGUGUAAGUAACUAUGCACGUCUUGACGGUACCUAAUCAGAAAGCCACGGCUAACUACGUG
This 496-nucleotide ribosomal RNA is filed under the name uncultured bacterium. RNAcentral's name for it is "partial 16S ribosomal RNA". It matches the Rfam family "Bacterial small subunit ribosomal RNA", at positions 28 to 507 of the family's 1533-position model. The record is from RNAcentral.